Molecule: ribosomal RNA, 429 nt
Filed under: uncultured Burkholderiaceae bacterium
Lineage: Bacteria; Pseudomonadati; Pseudomonadota; Betaproteobacteria; Burkholderiales; Burkholderiaceae
Description: bacterial SSU rRNA
Rfam family: Bacterial small subunit ribosomal RNA
Source: RNAcentral
UGGGGAAUUUUGGACAAUGGGCGCAAGCCUGAUCCAGCAAUGCCGCGUGUGUGAAGAAGGCCUUCGGGUUGUAAAGCACUUUUGGCAGGAAAGAAAUAGUGCGUGCUAAUACCAUGCGCGAAUGACGGUACCUGCAGAAUAAGCACCGGCUAACUACGUGCCAGCAGCCGCGGUAAUACGUAGGGUGCAAGCGUUAAUCGGAAUUACUGGGCGUAAAGCGUGCGCAGGCGGCUUUGUAAGACGGAUGUGAAAGCCCCGGGCUCAACCUGGGAAGUGCAUUCGUGACUGCAAGGCUAGAGUGUGUCAGAGGGAGGUGGAAUUCCGCGUGUAGCAGUGAAAUGCGUAGAGAUGCGGAGGAACACCGAUGGCGAAGGCAGCCUCCUGGGAUAACACUGACGCUCAGGCACGAAAGCGUGGGGAGCAAACAGG